Molecule: ribosomal RNA, 501 nt
Filed under: uncultured bacterium
Lineage: Bacteria
Description: partial 16S ribosomal RNA
Rfam family: Bacterial small subunit ribosomal RNA
Source: RNAcentral
AUUGAACGCUGGCGGCAGGCUUAACACAUGCAAGUCGAGCGGGGGAAGGUAGCUUGCUACCGGACCUAGCGGCGGACGGGUGAGUAAUGCUUAGGAAUCUGCCUAUUAGUGGGGGACAACAUCUGGAAAGGGAUGCUAAUACCGCAUACGUCCUACGGGAGAAAGCAGGGGAUCUUCGGACCUUGCGCUAAUAGAUGAGCCUAAGUCGGAUUAGCUAGUUGGUGGGGUAAAGGCCUACCAAGGCGACGAUCUGUAGCGGGUCUGAGAGGAUGAUCCGCCACACUGGGACUGAGACACGGCCCAGACUCCUACGGGAGGCAGCAGUGGGGAAUAUUGGACAAUGGGGGGAACCCUGAUCCAGCCAUGCCGCGUGUGUGAAGAAGGCCUUAUGGUUGUAAAGCACUUUAAGCGAGGAGGAGGCUACUCUAGUUAAUACCUAGGGAUAGUGGACGUUACUCGCAGAAUAAGCGCCGGCUAACUCUGUGCCAGCAGCCGCCGUAA